AGCGUCUUGGAACAGUGGCAGUUCGUUGGGCUCAUAUUCUCGCAUCGCGAGAAGGCACCCAAAAGUCCCUGGAUCGAGACCAGGAGACGCUA
Rhodotorula diobovata is the source of this 92-nucleotide non-coding RNA. Lineage: Eukaryota; Fungi; Basidiomycota; Microbotryomycetes; Sporidiobolales; Sporidiobolaceae. The record is from the annotation of a GenBank genome assembly.